AAAGUCGUAACAAGGUCUCCGUUGGUGAACCAGCGGAGGGAUCAUUACCGAGUUGCAAGACUCCCAAACCCACUGUGAACCGCUACACACCUCUGUUGCCUCGGCGGGACCGCCCCGGAUCGCCCCGGACCAGGCCCCCGCCGGGAAACCCAGAAACCCCUUCUCCGUACGUGAUCAGCACCUGGCGCCGAGAGCGCAUGAACAAAAUCAAUCAUCAAAACUUUCAACGACGGAUCUCUUGGCUCUG
RNAcentral lists this unclassified non-coding RNA (247 nucleotides) under Ascomycota sp. RNAcentral describes it as "partial contains small subunit ribosomal RNA, internal transcribed spacer 1, and 5.8S ribosomal RNA". The stretch from base 1 to 47 matches the Rfam family "Eukaryotic small subunit ribosomal RNA", at positions 1785 to 1831 of the family's 1831-position model. The record is from RNAcentral. Lineage: Eukaryota; Fungi; Ascomycota.